This 1376-nucleotide long non-coding RNA is filed under the name Pan troglodytes (chimpanzee). RNAcentral describes it as "lincRNA". Lineage: Eukaryota; Metazoa; Chordata; Mammalia; Primates; Hominidae. The record is from RNAcentral.
GUCAGUGCGGCUUCCCACUAGGCGCGUGGUACCCGAGGCCGGGCCGGAGCCGCAGGCCAGCCGCGAUUCCUUCGGGCGAUGCUGGGGGCUUUCCGGUCGGGGCCGCAGCCGCUUCCGGAGCCGCGGGCGAGGUGCGUUCCCCAGCCUGGUUUGCUCUGGGCUCUGACCCGCCGCCGCGAAUCUCCGCUCGUAACUCCGGGCCUGAACCUGGAGGAGGGAGGAUUUCCUCUGUGCAGCUUUCGAGCGGUAGACUCACCCUGCCAGGCAGACCUAGAUUGGCAUAACCAGAGAUCAGUUCCAGUUGUGAUGCAGUGGGUGUCUACACACUUCUGAUGACACCUUUAUUUUAAAAGCUGAUGUUCCAAGGUGCAAGCGGUCUUCUCUGUCUUCUUUAUGGCCAGUAAAAUUCUCCAGAAGAGAUUUAUGGCAGCCUCACUCCCAGUAGUUUCUGCAUUUAGUGAGAUAAGAUGGAAUCUUGCUCUCUUGCUCAGACUGGAGUACAGUGGCGUGACCUUGGCUCACUGCAACCUCACCUCUCGGGUUCAAGCGAUUCUGCCCCAGCCUCUCGAGUAGCUGGGACUACAGGUGGGAGACCUCCACAGAACCCUUCCAGCAAGCUGUCUUCUAAAGCAAACAAGAAAAGGAAAGUCUGAGCAGUUUUGAUUAGAUUUCCCAGAAGUCAAAGCAAGGAAAAAUGAAAAAGCUUCAUUUCUCACGUUCUUAAAAGAGAGCACAGAUGUUGCAUCAUCUGGUUAGAUACCCUGAGAAUAAAAUCUGGAUCCAGUGAGAGGAAAGAUUCUGGGUGCUCAUGAAAAAAGAAACAAAACAAAACUUGGGAGCCUCUUGAGAGUGUACAGCAUCAGCCCUUGCCAACUCUUGUUUAUAUGCAUUUAACUUUCAGUUAACCAUGGGAAUAAUUCAUGAAAAUCCAAUCUACAAACAAAGGCCAUCCCAACGUUCAUGUUAUUAUUUUCCCUAAGAAUCUUUCACAAGAGCUAUAAUCAAGUAGAAUUAUGCUUUGAUUUGAAUUCUAAUUCAAUUGAAAAUAAAAAAUGAGGGCCGGACGCGGUGGCUCAUGCCUGUAAUCCCAGCGCUUUGGGAGGCCGAGGUGGACGGAUCACGAGGUCAGGAGAUCGAGACCAUCCCGGCUAACACGGUGAAACCCGAUCCCUACUAAAAAUACAAAAAAUUAGCCGGGCGUGGUGGCAGGCGCCUGUAGUCCCAGCUACUCGGGAGGCUGAGGCAGGAGAAUGGCGUGAACCCAGGAGGCAGAGGUUGCAGUGAGCCGAGAUCAUGCUACUGCACUCCAGCCUGGGCGACAGAGCGAGACUCUGUCUAUAAAUAAAUAAAUAAAUAAAUAACGAAAAGGUUGCCAU